This is an RNA transcript of Leopardus geoffroyi (Geoffroy's cat), 2842 nucleotides long. It is a transcript of the gene named ribosomal RNA processing 8, with no coding region annotated. The record is from RefSeq and is a predicted model, not a curated record. Lineage: Eukaryota; Metazoa; Chordata; Mammalia; Carnivora; Felidae. The transcript is spliced from 10 exons.
UGCACUCUUUGGUUUCCGGCUCAGUUCCGGCGACUACGUGCGGUCGGUUUACAGGAGACUAGCGCUGCACGUGGAGAGCUGCUUGGCUCUCGCGACUUCGCCCACCCGACCCACAUGUUCGAAGAGCCGGAGUGGGCCGAGGAGGCCCCAGUAGCCACGGGCCUCGAACCUGUAGCUGCACGACCUCGGCCUGUCGCAGCCUCGCAAAUCAAGGGCUCCAAGCACCGUCAGCUCUUGGCCACAUUACGGGCCCUGGAGGCAGCAGCUCUUCCCCAGCAAUCUCCUAGCCUGCCUGGCAGUGACUCUGAGGAGGAGGUAGUGGAAAGGAAGAAGAAACACUCAAAAAAGGCCUCAUUUUCCAAUGUUUCUAUUGAAGUAGAGAAGAAGAGGAAGAAGAAAUGUCAGAAACAGGGCCCACCUGGCAGUGACUCUGAAGAAAAGGAAGUAGAAAGGAAGAAAAAGUGCCUCAAAGGGGUUUUUAAUGCCAGUGACUCUGCUGAAGAAGAGAAAAGGAAGAGGAAACACCAGAAACAGGUCCGCUCAAACCCUGCCCAACACCUGGACAAUGAUGACCAAACAGGUCCCAAAGCUUGGAAGAGUAGAGAUACAAAUGACCUAUCCCAGCCAAGUGCUGGGACCACUUCUGCCAACCCCCCCCACAUCUUGAGUCGCAAGCAGUGGCGCAACCGGCAAAAGAAUAAACGUAGGCAUAAGAAUAAGUUUCGGCCACCUCAGCCACCAGACCAGGCUCCAGCCACAGUCUCCACAGAGGAGACAGAGAUGCCUCCUGACCCCAGUCCACACAGCCAUGAGGAUCGGGCGGGGGCUCUGCGAGCCCGCAUGGCACAACGGCUGGAUGGUGCUCGAUUUCGUUACCUCAACGAACAGCUAUACUCAGGACCUAGCAGUGCUGCACAGCGUCUCUUCCAGGAAGACCCUGAGGCCUUUCUCCUCUACCAUCGCGGCUUCCAGAGCCAAGUCAAGAAGUGGCCACUGCAGCCAGUGGACCGCAUUGCCAGAGAUCUUCGCCAGCGGCCUGCGUCCCUGGUGGUAGCUGACUUCGGCUGCGGGGACUGCCGCCUGGCUUCAAGUAUCCGGAACCCUGUACACUGCUUUGACUUGGCCUCUCUGGACCCCAGGGUCACUGUGUGUGACAUGGCCCAGGUGCCUCUGGAGGAUGAGUCUGUGGAUGUGGCUGUGUUCUGCCUUUCACUGAUGGGAACCAACAUCAGGGACUUCCUAGAGGAGGCAAAUAGAGUGCUGAAGCCAGGGGGUCUUCUGAAAGUGGCUGAAGUCAGUAGCCGUUUUGAAGAUGUUCGGACUUUUCUGGGGGCUGUGACCAAACUGGGCUUCAAAGUCAUCUCCAAGGAUCUUACCAACAGCCACUUCUUCCUGUUUGACUUUGAAAAGACUGGGCCUCCUCGGGUCGGUCCCAAGGCUCAACUCACAGGCCUGAAACUUCAGCCAUGUCUCUACAAGCGCAGGUGACCUCUGGGGCCACCUUGAAAGGGAGGCAAGUCUCGAACUCCAGGCUCAGAACUCUGAAGACUGUAUCCAGCCAGGCUCUGACCCAAGAACGGGGUCAGAAAGAGGAUGUGUGGGAAGAGACCAUGCAGGAUUGCUGUGUAGAGAGCUUAUUGUGAGACAGCACAGCACAGCUGGACUGUCAGGACCUGCCCCCUCACCUCAGCUCUGACUGUGGACUCCACUGGGACCAUUCAGGAAGCUUGAGCUAUUAGGUAGAGAGGAGGUGAGAAGAGCCGAGAGCACACAGAUUAUUCUCCUCCCCAACUCAGCCUCCUUGAGACAUAGUGGUCCUCCUUCCCAGAUGACUUCUCAGACUGGCCACCUGUUUCUAGGAUAUUCAACUACUGUAGCAAUUGCCUUAUUGGUCUAAUUCCAUCACUCCUGCCCCCAAAGCAAUUUGUUUCCCACACAGCCAAGUGAUGUUUUUAAAAUGUAAAUCAGAUAUUGUCAUUUCUCUGCUUAAAAUCCUUCAAUGGGUUCUCAGUGCUCUGAGAACAAAAGACAGACUCGCUCCCAGGCCCUGUGUGAUCUUGCUCAGGCCUUGCUCUCCAACUGCAUCUUAACCCACUCCUUCCUCACAAGACUCCAGCCAUGCAAGCUUUCUUUCAUUCCUCUAGCAUUCCAAGCCAUUCCUGCUGGGUCUUUACACAUGCUGCUCUAUCUUUUUACAGUACUUUUUGUGAUGAGCUCAUUUUCGUCUUCCAGAUCUUCACACCAAAUCCCCGUUUCUUCUUUGGAAGAAACUGGCUAGAUGCUCACCAAAAUGUCCUUUUUAUGGACACAUAGUUAACUAUGUUUCCCAGCUCCUUGCAUCAAGGCGGGGCUAUUGUCUUCGCCAAUGGAAAGUAAGUAGGAGUAAUGCUUUACUACCAGACCAAGGCAAUUAAAGAGUGGAUGAGCCUUCUCCACAUUCUCCCAUCCCCUCUUCUGCCUUCCUGGGUGAGCUUGAAGCAUAUGUUUUAAAGACUGUGGAGUCAAUUGCUUGGAGGAAAUCUGCUUGACCAAGAACAUCCACAUUGGACUUUUCAACAAAAAUAAACCUCUAUUGCAUUAAGUUACUGAGCUUUGGGAAGGUUACAGAGGUUAGUAUUAUAUACUCUGGCUAAUAUAUCUUUUCUGGGCAUCCUGUCCACCUUGCUCUUGACCACAAAACCUUUUUUUGUUUCCCUCAGGGUGCUUCAAACAUGUAAUUAUCUUACCAGAUGCCAGUCAACACUCCUACCUAUCCUAUAACUUUGAAUCUUAAUUGAGAAAAAAACGUCCACGUGAGGAAGUUGAGAUACUCAUUUUAUCAGUUGCAUUUUGAUUGUGACCA